GUUUAGGCAGCGCAUUUUACAACUACGUUGACAUUUCAUCACAAGAAUAAAUUCCGGGAGGCAAUGGAAUUUAGCGGGGAGAUUAAAACACAUACACAUAGUCGGCAACUUCUUGGAGGAAACGCCUCUGCACAGACCUGUAGGCAUAUUCGCAUUAAAAAAAAAACUUUAAGGGGGAAAAGAAGAAGAAGAAACAUCAUGAAUUGGCAUGGACCAAGGGAGAAAUGCAAAACUGGCAACAGAGGAAAUAGCCUUAAAAAUGAAGGAAAGCUGAAUGGAAUUAAAAGGCCUGUGAUCGCAGCUAUCAAGAUGAGCAGGGAGAGGAAACGUUUCUGAGACAGACAGUCAAUGGAGAAUACUCCUUGCUGUACAUCUGUACAUUACUCUUGGAUUCCUA
Molecule: long non-coding RNA, 397 nt
Organism: Sceloporus undulatus (fence lizard)
Lineage: Eukaryota; Metazoa; Chordata; Lepidosauria; Squamata; Phrynosomatidae
Exons: 3
Source: RefSeq, a predicted model, not a curated record